RNAcentral lists this long non-coding RNA (4835 nucleotides) under Marmota monax (woodchuck). The record is from RNAcentral. Lineage: Eukaryota; Metazoa; Chordata; Mammalia; Rodentia; Sciuridae.
AUUUCCCUAGGGAGUUGGUAUCUCAGUUCAUGGACAAUUCCGAGUGGCUACUGAGAAGUCUGUUUUUUCAAUGCCAGAAACAGCAAUAGGUAAAAAAUCAUUUUUUCAUGAUUACUUUCAGAAUCAUCUUCCUUUGAAACACUUAAGCUUAUACUGUUGUUGAAGGAAUGAAGUAAUGGAAUCUUGUGUGAGAUAUAACAAAGAAAGGUUGGAAAUAUUAUGAACAACUUUAUAAAGGAAAGCAAGCAAGAGAAACCUCACAGUAACUCCAGGUUUAUACCUUGAGUUUCCAGCCUUGGUGUGGUCCUUCAUUUGGGAAAGUUAAGCUAAGAGGCCAAGGAGACCAAGGCAUCUAGAAUUCCCAGAAGAGAGGACCACAGAGGAGAGAGUUGCAGACAGAACUUUGGAGCUCUGAUUCUUGUGUAAGGAGGAGGUAGCCUAGUUUCAGGUCCAGGCUUUGCAAUACUUAGAGGUCAAGCAGAGGAAGUAGAGCCAGCAAGGGAGACUGGAAAGAUACAGCCAGUGGGAGAAUGUGUGUGUAUGUGUAUUAUCCUGGAGGGAAGAAUGUGUUUAAGGAUGGGAGGGUGCUUUCACUUGGGCAGAAUACCAUUGAGUCUCUGGGCAAGAAGAGAAGCAGAAUGUUGGGCAAAUGUAAGAAGGCCACAGUGGCUGGAGUUUAGUGGCUAGUAAGAGAUACAGAAAGUAGUCAAGGGCCCUGAAGGAUUUUGAUAAAGAUGAUUGUUCUUAUCCAAGACAAUCAGGAAACUGUGAGAGGGUUUUAAGGAGUGCAAUACUCUGAUCAAAAUUCGAGUUUUAAAAAGAUCACCCUGGCUAAGAGAAGGUGUCAAGGUGGAUGGUUGUUUCCUUUACUGAGGUGGGUAAUGACAGGAGUGGGGAAGGUCAGGAGUUCAGUUUAUUUUUAUGUACGGUAGCAUGCUGCUUAUUCUCUUAAUUAUAAGAAUCUUUGUCAAGUAGAACUAGAAAGAAUUUUUGAGGUUUUGUUUUUAUCUCAACUUCAUUACGUUAAGUAACCUUAAAAUAGCUGUAUGAGUUAAACAGCUAGGGCAUCACUGUUGUUUAAAGAAGUUCUUAAACACCGAAAAAUAGUAUACUGGUAACUAAUUGUAUAGAUACUACUUCCAAUUGUUGUAAGUAGAGAGGGGAAUUUUAAAAAUACUGAUGGCUAAGGAAAGAGUAAAUGCAUGUGAUUAGUAUCAAUUACAUACUGAUGGUUUAAUAGAAUGAAUGGUAUUGCACUAGUCUUUAAAUAUCUAGAAUAUUAGAUAAUUGAUUAAGUUUCAGAGAUGAUUUAAAUGUUUGUGAUUAAUUUUCCCAUAAUAACCCUUGUAUUAUGUAUUUUUCCCCUAUGUUUAUCAUUUGGAAAGAAUAUUUUUUCCAAUUUUUAUCUAUUUCAGAGAUUCUUAGAAAAGUAAAUUGAUGACAGGAAAAUUUAGGUAGAAUUAUUGAGUACUUCAAGUACACAAAACAAGUAUCAUCCGAUACUUUCUGCCUUCUAUAGAAAUGAGACAUGAAGAUUUUGAAAAUACCCCAAUCAUCACAACUUGUAGUAAGUUCUUUGUGACAUUGGUUAAAUUUAGUAUUUAGUUUAAUAAUAUUUGUAGUGUAGAUUUAUACUCCAGAGAAAUGGCUAUGUGACUUAAAGGAAGGAGGUUUUAUUCACUUCUUAUUUGAGUCAUUGUUAUUUCUCUUUAUUAUGUUUAAUUCCAGGACUGUUCCCUGAUGUGGGUGGAGGUUAUUUCUUGCCAAGACUUCAAGGAAAACUGGGUUACUUUCUGGCAUUGACAGGAUUCAGACUAAAAGGAAGAGAUGUGUACAGAGUAGGAAUUGCUACACACUUUGUAGAUUCUGAAAAGGUAAUUGGAUGUUGACAUGGAAUGUGGAGGUACUAUAAAUGGUUGAAAUAACAGGUUUUUGGUAGACAUGGGUGUGAAUUUUGAUUUAUUGCUUUUAGCUGUGCAACUGUUUCAGUUAGAUUUUUUUGUUGUGACCAAAGGACCUGAAAAGAACUUAGAGAAUGAAAGGUUUAUUUUGGCUCACAGUUUCAGGAGUUCCAUCUAUAGUCAGCCAAUUCCAUUCCUCUGGAUCUGAAGUGGCAGAACAUUGUGGCAGAAGGGCAUGGCAGAGGAAAGCAGCUCAAGACAUGGCAACCAGGAAGCAAAGAGAAGUCUUUGCUCACCAGGGACAACCCCAAAGGCACACCUCCAAUGACCUACCUCCUCCAGCCAUACCUCAACUCCCUACAGUUACUCCAUAAGAUUAACUCUCAUAAUCUAAAUAUUUCACCUCUGAACAUUCUUGAAUUGUCUUAGCUUUUGGAGAUACCUCAUAUCUAAACCAUAACAUCAACCUUGGAGAAGGUGCUUAAGGUUUCCAAUUCUGUUUCCUCAUGCAAAAUGGAGAUGAUAAUACUUGGAUUCAGGGCUGUUUUGCCUGGCAUCUUUAGUGAAUAUUUUUUAAUGAAUAAAUAGAAUGUUAAAAAAAACCUAUGUUAAGAAAAUCUAAUUAUAUGAUAUCUAAAUUUAAAGAUAGGCUUUUAUGAAGACAUUUCUGAAAGAGUCUGUUGUGGUAAGUUUCCCUAGUGCAUUUAAAAUAAUUGCAUUUGUAAAAUAUCAUCUUGACUUCUAUCUAUUUAUUUAUUGUGUAUUGGGAAUUGAACCUAGGGCCUCACACAUGCCAGUCAACUGCUCUACCACUGAGCUACAUCCCCAGCCCUUGGUCUUGACUUUUCUUAAACAUAUCUGUCUUGUACAAGGAAUACAUGUUACUUAUCUUCAUUUUUUUUUUUUUUUCUAGUAGUAUGGCCAAUUUUCUUAGGAUAGCAUAGCAUAGUAGCAAAGAGUAUACAAAUAGACUGAGUUUAAAACCUACCUUGAAUUUAGCCUCUCUGGUUUCCUGGUUUUCCAUCUGCAAAAGGGAGAUGAUAAUAUUUCCAUAAUAAUCAAAACUCUUUGUGUUACAUGUAACAAACCUAAACAAAUUAGAGGUGAUUUUGUCCCAGAAUUCUCAAUAAAAGGCCUGUGAUUUAUUCUACUUUACCUUGCUUAGUUCACCCUGACUUAUAUUAUAUAUAUUUGAACCAUAUGGGUGGGUGGAAUACACUGACUGCCCCAUAGGUUCUGGAUAAUGCACUUCAUCUUUGGAACCAGAGAGUGAAGUCCACUUCUCAGGAAGCAUGUGGUCUUCAAUGAAUAUCUGAUCUUGAGGAAAAGGUGUUUGGAGUUAGAGGAAGGAAUGUUAUAAAAGUUAAAUUAGAAAAUUUGUGUUUCAUGCUUAGCUGUAUAACUGACAUACAGUAAGCAUUCAGAUUUUAACUGUUAGUAUUUUAACACAACUUUCUCUGUGUAUUUAUUUAUUUUUUUUAAGAGUUAACCAGAAUUUUCACUGAGAAUUUCUUGUGUUACACAGGAUGUCCCACUUGUACCCAUGUGUCUACUUUAUAACAUUCUAUUUGGGGCACUGAUACCAGAGAUUGCAUUAAUCAUUGGAUUAUUUUACAAAUGCUUAAGGACUGUUAAAAAUAUAAUUCUUUAAUGUCAUGCAUCCUCUCUGACCUACCAGCCAUUAACAUAAACCAGUUGGAUAGCAUAAAAAUGUAUCAUUUGCUUGCUAAUAGAAUUCCCUUUUUUAACUUUAUAAAUUGGCUGUGCCAUUUUUUAUGUUAGUAAACCUUGAUCUUGGUCCAUUAUGGAUCCUAUGAGGUAUGUGAAGUGUGAGAAAUUGAAGGUUGUUCCUGUACACUGUUAUGAGGGCCUUCCAUCUCAUCUGGUUGAAGUUGCAGAUCUUCCUAUUGUGGGUAUCUUCAGUCACAUUGAGUAAGCAGCUGUUUCAUCCUUCCCUUGAGCCAUGGGCAUUCCAUUGUCCACUCUGGAAGGACAUUCUUGAUUAUAGUAGAAUUUAGCUAAGGAUAAAAGAGGGAAAACUGAUGUGCAGUGCUUUUCUCUGUCAACUUGCCUAAUAAUAAUACCUGUAGCAGAUAAACAGCCAUUCUUAGGACCUAUAGGAAAUACAGAAAUGAGUAAUACCCAUUGAAGAUGGGUUUAGAAGUGGGUACAAAAGGUAGAUAAACACGUCUCAUCUGGCAGUAUAAAGCAUGACACGUAUAAAAACAGGAUACAUGCUAAGAAAGUACUCAAAAUGUUGAAAGAAAGAGCAUACCUGUAAGAAAGGAUUAGAUGGCCUUCCCGUGAAUAUCAUCAGAAAAAGGCAAAUAGAGUAGAUAAACAUAAAUAAAAUAAAUCAACCUCAUGGCCAGGAAAACAUUAGCUAUGUUUUGGAAAUAGAGAAAAGUCUCAUUUAGUUGUAGAAUAGAUAUGUGAAUGACUAGAUGGAGAAGUGGCAGUGAUGACAGUAGCCCCUAGUUAAGUGUGUUAAUUUUACUUAGAAUUAAUUUAAAAUAAAAUUUAUAAAUCAAAUCUUUGAUUACAAUACAGGUUGAGUAUCUUUUAUCUGAAAUGCUUGGGACUAGAAGUGUUUUGGAUUUUGGAUUAGGGAUACUCAACUUGCGCCACAUUUCAAGUGCUCCUUAGUAUCUUCCAUCUCUUAUCUGUUCCUGCUAAGGCAACAUUUGCUGUGUGGGAAUGACUCAGUUUAAGAGAGCAUUUUAAGAUAAGAUUCUAACAAAGAGAGAUUUUUAAAAAAAUGAAAGUUAAUUUUUAAAAAACCUUUCUGUUUCUAUGGGUUUCAAAUGUUUAUCUUUUUAUUUCCCCCGUAGGUGAGCAUGUUAGAGGAAGAUUUGGUAGCAUUGAAAUCUCCUUCAAAGGAAAAUGUCGCAGAUGUCUUAGAAACCUACCAUACACAGGUGAUCUUCUCAAUGC